GAUGAAGAACGUAGUAAAAUGCGAUAAGUAAUGUGAAUUGCAGAAUUCAGUGAAUCAUCGAAUCUUUGAACGCACAUUGCGCCCCCUGGUAUUCCGGGGGGCAUGCCUGUCCGAGCGUCAUUACAACCCUCAAGCUCAGCUUGGUGUUGGGCCCCGCCGCCCCGGCGGGCCCUAAAGUCAGUGGCGGUGCCGUCCGGCUCCGAGCGUAGUAAUUCUUCUCGCUCUGGAGGUCCGGUCGUGUGCUCGCCAGCAACCCCCAAUUUUUUUCAGGUUGACCUCGGAUCAGGUAGGGAUACCCGCUGAACUUAAGCAUAUCAAUAAGCGGAGGA
RNAcentral lists this unclassified non-coding RNA (329 nucleotides) under soil metagenome. Its description in RNAcentral is "partial contains 5.8S ribosomal RNA, internal transcribed spacer 2, and large subunit ribosomal RNA". The stretch from base 1 to 120 matches the Rfam family "5.8S ribosomal RNA", at positions 35 to 154 of the family's 154-position model. The record is from RNAcentral.